AGGCAGCAGUGGGGAAUUUUCCGCAAUGGGCGAAAGCCUGACGGAGCAACGCCGCGUGAGGGAUGAAGGCCUCUGGGCUGUAAACCUCUUUUAUCAAGGAAGAAGAUCUGACGGUACUUGAUGAAUAAGCCACGGCUAAUUCCGUGCCAGCAGCCGCGGUAAUACGGGAGUGGCAAGCGUUAUCCGGAAUUAUUGGGCGUAAAGCGUCCGCAGGCGGCCCUUCAAGUCUGCUGUUAAAAAGUGGAGCUUAACUCCAUCAUGGCAGUGGAAACUGUUGGGCUUGAGUGUGGUAGGGGCAGAGGGAAUUCCCGGUGUAGCGGUGAAAUGCGUAGAUAUCGGGAAGAACACCAGUGGCGAAGGCGCUCUGCUGGGCCAUCACUGACGCUCAUGGACGAAAGCCAGGGGAGCGAAAGGGAUUAGAUACCCCUGUAGUCCUGGCCGUAAACGAUGAACACUAGGUGUCGGGGGAAUCGACCCCCUCGGUGUCGUAGCCAACGCGUUAAGUGUUCCGCCUGGGGAGUACGCACGCAAGUGUGAAACUCAAAGGAAUUGACGGAAGGGCGAAUUCGUU
RNAcentral lists this ribosomal RNA (571 nucleotides) under uncultured bacterium. Its description in RNAcentral is "bacterial SSU rRNA". It matches the Rfam family "Bacterial small subunit ribosomal RNA", at positions 346 to 931 of the family's 1533-position model. The record is from RNAcentral.